This 207-nucleotide ribosomal RNA is filed under the name uncultured Eubacteriales bacterium. RNAcentral's name for it is "uncultured Clostridiales bacterium partial 16S ribosomal RNA". It matches the Rfam family "Bacterial small subunit ribosomal RNA", at positions 568 to 774 of the family's 1533-position model. Lineage: Bacteria; Bacillati; Bacillota; Clostridia; Eubacteriales. The record is from RNAcentral.
CGCGUAGGCGGGAAUGCAAGUCAGAUGUGAAAUCUCCGGGCUCAACCCGGAAACUGCAUUUGAAACUGUAUUUCUUGAGUGAUGGAGAGGCAAGUGGAAUUCCUAGUGUAGCGGUGAAAUGCGUAGAUAUUAGGAGGAACACCAGUGGCGAAGGCGACUUGCUGGACAUUAACUGACGCUGAGGCGCGAAAGCGUGGGGAGCAAACA